Molecule: small RNA, 126 nt
Filed under: Marmota monax (woodchuck)
Lineage: Eukaryota; Metazoa; Chordata; Mammalia; Rodentia; Sciuridae
Source: RNAcentral
GCUGGGCGUGGUGGCGCACACCUGUAAUCCCAGCGGCUCGGGAGGCUGAGGCAGGAGAAUCGCGAGUUCAAAGCCAGCCUCAGCAAAAAGCGAGGCACUAAACAACUCAGUGAGACCCUGUCUCUA